Molecule: ribosomal RNA, 114 nt
Filed under: Staphylococcus aureus
Lineage: Bacteria; Bacillati; Bacillota; Bacilli; Caryophanales; Staphylococcaceae
Description: partial 23S ribosomal RNA
Rfam family: Bacterial large subunit ribosomal RNA
Source: RNAcentral
AUUUCCCAACUUCGGUUAUAAGAUCCCUCAAAGAUGAUGAGGUUAAUAGGUUCGAGGUGGAAGCAUGGUGACAUGUGGAGCUGACGAAUACUAAUCGAUCGAAGACUUAAUCAA